GUCUAUGGCCAUGCCACCCUGAGCAAGCCCGAUCUCGUCUGAUCUCAGAAGCUAAGCAUAGUUGGGCCUGGUUAGUACUUGGAUGGGAGACCACCUAGGAAGAUCAGGUGCUGUAGGCG
RNAcentral lists this ribosomal RNA (119 nucleotides) under Pteropus alecto (black flying fox). Lineage: Eukaryota; Metazoa; Chordata; Mammalia; Chiroptera; Pteropodidae. The record is from RNAcentral.